AUUGAAAAGGACUUUGAUGUUGUU
Molecule: small RNA, 24 nt
Filed under: Arabidopsis thaliana (thale cress)
Lineage: Eukaryota; Viridiplantae; Streptophyta; Magnoliopsida; Brassicales; Brassicaceae
Description: ATSL136250
Source: RNAcentral